UCCCAGUGAUGAAUAUUUUAGUAAUCUGGAACAGUGACAAAAUGGAGCUCCCUCUUGGAAAAUUUCCAUGGAGGUUUUAGAGGAACCAUUGUUGUAGAUACUUGGCAACUUCUGAGGGUU
Small nucleolar RNA from Arabidopsis lyrata subsp. lyrata, 120 nucleotides. It matches the Rfam family "small nucleolar RNA snoR130". The record is from Rfam. NCBI's taxonomy places the organism in Eukaryota, Viridiplantae, Streptophyta, Magnoliopsida, Brassicales, Brassicaceae.